CCAGAAAGUGUGUUCUUGGGAGCUGAGAGGUGUGUUCAUCUCAUAUUCCUCACUGAAGCACAGACCAUAUUUGAUGCUAGACAUUGAAAGAAUGAAUAAAUUAAUAAAUGAACAAGUGUACAAUUCUCACUCUUACAUCUAGUUCCUGGUGUUCAGACUGAUUCUCUUCCUAUGUGCCUUUGGAAGUUCAGCAGUGUGGCUAUUUCAUAGAGCUACAUAGUGGAGAUGACAUGACUAUGGACGAAAGUCAGACAAUCCUGGCGCCACCAUUUUAUAACUGAGUGACCUUGGGCAAACUACAAAUCAUCCACAAGAAUCAGUUCUUUAAUCUAUUAAAGGUGAGGAAACUGAAGCUCAAGAAGUGGUGAGAGAUUCUCCCAAAACUACACAAUUAGUAUGGGCUGGAGCUGGCAUUCGAAUUUAGAGUCUCCUAUUUCCAAAGCCCAUAUUCUGCCAAAUGCAGGGAGAGAGUCCACGCUUGGCCAGGUGGUCGAUCAGAUGUGCUACGUUGAGAACAAUUCUGAGACUGCAUCAGGCUGCAGUGAGUAUGGUCACCUAGCAGCAUCUCCUGUGGACACAGGAGGGGAGAUGGCAUAUGUGUCAUCCACACUUCGCACAUCCACCCACAGACCUGGACAUCAUUAGGAGGGGGCCCUCGCCUGGGAGCUCCAUUCGGCAGGCGCCAUGUCUUCCUGAUAUCUGUCUCCCUGGCUCUUAGCACAGUGCUUGGCCAAAGUAGGCAGCCAACAUGUGUUGAACUAGACUGAACUGAGUGGUUCAGAGAUUUGCCCCCGAGGAUGGG
This is a long non-coding RNA of Rhinolophus ferrumequinum (greater horseshoe bat), 802 nucleotides long. RefSeq lists it as uncharacterized. NCBI's taxonomy places the organism in Eukaryota, Metazoa, Chordata, Mammalia, Chiroptera, Rhinolophidae. The record is from RefSeq and is a predicted model, not a curated record. The transcript is spliced from 3 exons.